This 253-nucleotide ribosomal RNA is filed under the name uncultured bacterium. RNAcentral describes it as "partial 16S ribosomal RNA". It matches the Rfam family "Bacterial small subunit ribosomal RNA", at positions 524 to 776 of the family's 1533-position model. The record is from RNAcentral.
UACGUAGGGUGCAAGCGUUGUCCGGAAUUAUUGGGCGUAAAGAGCUCGUAGGCGGUCUGUCGCGUCUGGUGUGAAAAUCCAGGGCUUAACCCUGGACCUGCAUCGGGUACGGGCAGACUAGAGUGCGGUAGGGGAGAUCGGAAUUCCUGGUGUAGCGGUGAAAUGCGCAGAUAUCAGGAGGAACACCAAUGGCGAAGGCAGAUCUCUGGGCCGUAACUGACGCUGAGGAGCGAAAGCAUGGGGAGCGAACAGG